This 214-nucleotide ribosomal RNA is filed under the name Burkholderia sp. RNAcentral's name for it is "partial 16S ribosomal RNA". It matches the Rfam family "Bacterial small subunit ribosomal RNA", at positions 80 to 311 of the family's 1533-position model. Lineage: Bacteria; Pseudomonadati; Pseudomonadota; Betaproteobacteria; Burkholderiales; Burkholderiaceae. The record is from RNAcentral.
UGUUSCUGGKGGCGAGUGGCGAACGGGUGAGUAAUACAUCGGAACAUGUCCUGUAGUGGGGGAUAGCCCGGCGAAAGUGUAAUACRGCAUACGAUCUACCGUGAAAGCGGGGGACUUCGCMCUCGCGCUAUAUGGWUGCCGAUGGUGAUUAGCUAGUUGGGGGGWAAAGGCUUCCAAGGGACGAUCAGUAGCUGUCUGAGAGGCGACCAGCCCC